RNAcentral lists this ribosomal RNA (491 nucleotides) under uncultured Sphingobacteriales bacterium. RNAcentral's name for it is "bacterial SSU rRNA". It matches the Rfam family "Bacterial small subunit ribosomal RNA", at positions 888 to 1382 of the family's 1533-position model. Lineage: Bacteria; Pseudomonadati; Bacteroidota; Sphingobacteriia; Sphingobacteriales. The record is from RNAcentral.
CCCGCUCAGAAACUCAAAGGAAUGACGGGGCCCGCACAAGCGGAGGAGCAUGUGGUUUAAUUCGAUGAUACGCGAGGAACCUUACCUGGGCUCGAACGUAAGAUGACUGUAGGUGAAAGCUUACAUCUCUUCGGAGCAUUUUACGAGGUGCUGCAUGGUUGUCGUCAGCUCGUGCCGUGAGGUGUCGGGUUAAGUCCCAUAACGAGCGCAACCCUACCUUUAGUUGCCAUCAGGUAAUGCUGGGGACUCUAAAGGAACUGCCUACGCAAGUAGUGAGGAAGGCGGGGAUGACGUCAAAUCAGCACGGCCCUUACGUCCAGGGCUACACACGUGCUACAAUGGCCGAUACAGAGGGCAGCUACCUGGUGACAGGAUGCAAAUCUCCAAAGUCGGUCUCAGUUCGGAUCGGAGUCUGCAACCCGACUCCGUGAAGUUGGAUUCGCUAGUAAUCGCGCAUCAGCCAUGGCGCGGUGAAUACGUUCCCGGGCCUU